CUUUGUUGCUCUGUUUCGUGA
This 21-nucleotide non-coding RNA is filed under the name Arabidopsis thaliana (thale cress). Lineage: Eukaryota; Viridiplantae; Streptophyta; Magnoliopsida; Brassicales; Brassicaceae. The record is from RNAcentral.